This is a long non-coding RNA of Girardinichthys multiradiatus, 343 nucleotides long. RefSeq lists it as uncharacterized. NCBI's taxonomy places the organism in Eukaryota, Metazoa, Chordata, Actinopteri, Cyprinodontiformes, Goodeidae. The transcript is spliced from 2 exons. The record is from RefSeq and is a predicted model, not a curated record.
AUAAGGUUCACUAAUACACAGAGGCAGACUCGAGGAGCUCCCUACGUCUUAAUUUACCCUGAAAAGUCAUUACGGCCACUUGGCUUGCUUCUUCACGCCCUCCUUCUCUCCUUAAGCAGACCUUCUGAAAUGAGAUCUCCUAUCUGGAAGUUGCAGACUGUAGAGGUGAUGUCUCACUAAUUGUUGGCCGCUCUCCUGGUCAUUAAGAUUCAUCGGGCUCGUCCUCCUGUUUGGUUCGAUGCAAGCAGUCUGAUUAUGGGCAACUGCUCUCUGCCUGGUCCCUCCUCCUGCAGCCGCUGGUUCGCUGAAGGAUCGUCAAUAAAUGUCCGAACCAAACACAUUG